This 1721-nucleotide long non-coding RNA is filed under the name Equus caballus (horse). Its description in RNAcentral is "lncRNA (ENSECAG00000052247.1)". Lineage: Eukaryota; Metazoa; Chordata; Mammalia; Perissodactyla; Equidae. The record is from RNAcentral.
GAGCAGUUUCUUGUGUGUAGAGUCAGUGAAGAUUGUAUAGGAGUUAGAACUUUGGCAAAUACAGAACACAACCAAUAUACUGACGUAGGGGUUGAAAAUAAUUUACAAAAUUAAUUUAAUAAAAUGCCUAAAACAGUAACUAACAAUUAUUAACAAAAUAACAACAAAGUAUCCAUACAAUAAAAAUUAAUGUUCACAUUGAGGACCUAAAGUUAUGACAACACCUCUACUGCCUUCUAAAUACCCUUUUACUUUAAGUUCUCGGUUGUGUUGAACACAGCUCUUUGUGGCCUAAUAAGAUGUCAACCAAAAUACCCAGAGGAUUUCUAAAAGCACACAACAUUUCCCGUAGCACGCCGGAUAAAAUAAUUUAACACAUUUAUUUCAACAAAGGCCUGUGGUUACUAACACCGAACUAGAGAGUAGUUUUUUGUUUUUUAAUUUCUAGUACUAAUUGUGGUUCUUAAAGGUAUCUACAGUUCAUAUUUGACUUGUCAUGCUGCUCCUUAAAGGAACAAUAUGUUUAUGCUGAAAGUUUGACUGUAAUUCACCCCUAAAAUUUAUUUUAUGUGGAAAAGGUUCAUCAUAAAAAAAUAGCUACUACUUAUAUAUGUCAAGAUUGAUUCAACUACAUUUUGUAGAACAAGCACAGAUUUUGAUAUCAGACGAGCUGGGUUUCAACAUCUAACUUUACACUGUGACCCUGGGAACAUUCCAUACCUUCUUGGAGCCUCACUUCCUGAACUACAAAAUGAGAACCUCACCACAGUUCUCAAAGGGUAGCAUAAAGUUUAAAAAGAGCGAGUGCAUGUGCCUAGUCCUGGGCUAGGCAUAAUGUAGUAUACCAGGUGUUAAUGGUUUUUCUCCUCUCUUUCCCAUUCCUGAUAUAUUUUGGCUAAUUGGAGAUUAGUGAAAAAAUAUAGAAAUUGUUACUGGAAUAAAUCAGCUCCACUAAAAAGCUCAUUAUAUUGCAGGCAAUAGUUAUGCAUUUCCAAAGUAACAUUCAAUAAGAUCAAAAUAAUGGUUUUGAAAAUGUAUUUACAUAUUAAUAAUUAAUAUGCAAGAAAAGAUUUUUCGGGGGAACAAGGACAAAAGAAACAAAUACGCAACAUCUGUGUGCAUAGGUUAAUUUUGUAAAAAUGAAGAAAAAUACCCCAUUUUGUUAAACGUUGGAUGCUCAUGGACAGGCCACAGAAACAAAGCUACUUCAUACAGCAAUCUGCAUCAUCAAAAAAUAUCAAAAUAGAGUUUCUCUAAAGGAAAGAGCCUUUUGAAUGGGGUUAAUAAUAAUUAGAAGUUCCCAUUAUUUGUCCAUAAAACUUCCUAGAAAGGUGCUACUUCAAACAGGAUUCUAGUAGAACUUGGCACAUAAAUUUUAACUUUUCAACCACCCACUACUUUUCACCUUCUUGUAGCUUCACUCACUCAGACAAUCUCUCAUAUACAUACAUUAAUAUUAAAAACACACGUGGCUUUAAAGCAGAAUAUUCAUUUUCUACAACAAAAGCAGGUCAUCAUAUUUAUACCCAAUGUUCUCAGUCAUGAAAAUGGAUUUUCGUCAUAGGGCUGCUAAUUAACAUACACUAUUAGGUUCAGCAUUUCCAAAGGUAUGUCUCUAGGAGGAUCUGUUUGAUCAUGUGCAAGAAUUCUAAGGCAUUAUAAGUAGUUGUUCCACAGGACAAGUGCUGCCCUUGAUAUACUCUUGAUACAUUUAACAAGUC